RNAcentral lists this ribosomal RNA (440 nucleotides) under uncultured bacterium. Its description in RNAcentral is "bacterial SSU rRNA". It matches the Rfam family "Bacterial small subunit ribosomal RNA", at positions 958 to 1398 of the family's 1533-position model. The record is from RNAcentral.
AACGCGAAGAACCUUACCUGGGCUCGAAGCGCAGUGGAAUCCGGUGGAAACAUCGGCGCCCCUUAAAAGGCUGCUGCGGAGGUGCUGCAUGGCUGUCGUCAGCUCGUGUCGUGAGAUGUUGGGUUAAGUCCCGCAACGAGCGCAACCCUUAUCCCCAGUUGCCAUCAUUAAGUUGGGCACUCUGGUGAAACCGCCUCGGAUAACGGGGAGGAAGGUGGGGAUGACGUCAAGUCCUCAUGGCCUUUAUGUCCAGGGCUACACACGUGCUACAAUGGCCGGUACAAACCGUCGCAAACCCGUGAGGGGGAGCUAAUCGGAAAAAGCCGGCCUCAGUUCGGAUUACAGUCUGCAACUCGACUGUAUGAAGCUGGAAUCGCUAGUAAUCGCGGAUCAGAAUGCCGCGGUGAAUACGUUCCCGGGCCUUGUACACACCGGUACUA